This is a long non-coding RNA of Salvia splendens (bonfire salvia), 697 nucleotides long. RefSeq lists it as uncharacterized. Lineage: Eukaryota; Viridiplantae; Streptophyta; Magnoliopsida; Lamiales; Lamiaceae. The transcript is spliced from 3 exons. The record is from RefSeq and is a predicted model, not a curated record.
GAACCAACAUAUACUAUGUGGAAUUGACUACUACUCCCUUUUAUUGGCUCUAUAAAUUCCCCAACAUGGAUUAGGAUUCCCUGCCUUUUUUUUUCUUAUUAACACUACAAUAUAGGAGUUACAAAACCACACCAAUCUUCUUCCAAUAAUUCAAGAAUUGAAACCACACAUGGCGUUGAGGAUUCCUCUCCAUUUACUUCUCCUAAUUCAUUUAAUAGCACCCAUAUAUGCAAAUUCAGAAGGUGAUGCUCUUUAUGCAUUGAGGAGGGCUGUGAAAGACCCUGAAAAUGUUGUGCAAAGCUGGGAUCCUACCUUGCACUUGGUUUCAUGUCACCUGUGAUGCUCAAAAUAGAGUCACUCGCCUGUAACUUAUCAUAUCACAUUCAUUUUAAUUUCAAGAAAAAGAUUUGAUUUUUUUGAGUUGAAUUUGGCAGUGAUGUUGGAAAUGCAAGGCUGUCAGGGAAGCUUGUUCCUGAGCUGGGGAAGCUGGAGAGGCUUCAAUAUCUUUUUAUGAACAACUCAAGAUUAGAAGGGCCUGAGCUGAGCUGAUGCGACAUCGGAGGGUGUUAAUUAUUUGUUGAGACUUUCAAAAUCAUACUAAUUUCUAAUUAGUAUUGCACCCGGCCUUGUUUGAUUGGAAUAUGCAAUUUGGGAUUCUUGUACAUUCUAAUCAUCUCAUCUUAUGGAUCAUUGUUUG